UCAAUUUCAAAGCAGGAGUGGU
Molecule: microRNA, 22 nt
Filed under: Octopus vulgaris (common octopus)
Lineage: Eukaryota; Metazoa; Mollusca; Cephalopoda; Octopoda; Octopodidae
Also listed under: 1 other name
Description: Ovu-Mir-12563_3p (mature (guide))
Source: RNAcentral